GAUGAAGAACGCAGCGAAAUGCGAUAAGUAGUGUGAAUUGCAGAAUUCCGUGAAUCAUCGAAUCUUUGAACGCACAUUGCGCCUUCUGGUAUUCCGGAAGGCAUGCCUGUUCGAGAGUCAUUAACAACCGUUUCGAUCCCUUUCUUUCAGAAAUUACAAAGAGGAAAAGGGUUUGGUUAUGGUGGAGGAGGGAAAGGGAGCGUUUAGCCUGUAAAAAAAGAGGCUGUGUUCCGCCUCCCCCCCAAAAUUGUACAGGCGGUCGUGUGCGCCCACGCAUCGAGGUGUUGUAAAAGCUGCCACGGCACUUUUCACCUGUGCAGUGCGAGAUUGGCCAGCCGGUUUAAAAACCCCUCCAAACAAUCAAAGGUUGACCUCGGAUCAGGUAGGAAUACCCGCUGAACUUAAGCAUAUCAAUAAGCGGAGGA
Molecule: unclassified non-coding RNA, 425 nt
Filed under: soil metagenome
Description: partial contains 5.8S ribosomal RNA, internal transcribed spacer 2, and large subunit ribosomal RNA
Rfam family: 5.8S ribosomal RNA (bases 1-120)
Source: RNAcentral